RNAcentral lists this ribosomal RNA (253 nucleotides) under uncultured bacterium. RNAcentral describes it as "partial 16S ribosomal RNA". It matches the Rfam family "Bacterial small subunit ribosomal RNA", at positions 524 to 776 of the family's 1533-position model. The record is from RNAcentral.
UACAGAGGGGGCAAGCGUUGUUCGGAAUUACUGGGCGUAAAGGGCGCGUAGGCGGCCCGCUAAGUCGAACGUGAAAUCCCCAGGCUCAACCUGGGAACUGCGUCCGAUACUGGCAGGCUUGAAUCCGGGAGAGGGAUGUGGAACUCCAGGUGUAGCGGUGAAAUGCGUAGAUAUCUGGAGGAACACCGGUGGCGAAGGCGGCAUCCUGGACCGGUAUUGACGCUGAGGCGCGAAAGCUAGGGGAGCAAACGGG